This is a small nucleolar RNA of Benincasa hispida (wax gourd), 107 nucleotides long. The record is from RefSeq and is a predicted model, not a curated record. Lineage: Eukaryota; Viridiplantae; Streptophyta; Magnoliopsida; Cucurbitales; Cucurbitaceae.
AAGUCGUUAUGUGGGCAGUCUCUUACCAACCUCUUAAACCUCGCCCAAGCCUCACUGAGGAAUUCAUCAGUUUCCUGUUCAAAAUUCGUAAUUAACUUCCUUCUUCU